Molecule: ribosomal RNA, 253 nt
Filed under: uncultured bacterium
Lineage: Bacteria
Description: partial 16S ribosomal RNA
Rfam family: Bacterial small subunit ribosomal RNA
Source: RNAcentral
UACGUAGGGGGCAAACGUUGUUCGGAAUUACUGGGCGUAAAGGGCGCGUAGGCGGCAUGGCAAGUCGGGAGUGAAAGCCCGGGGCUCAACCCCGGAGGGUCUCUCGAAACUGCCGAGCUAGAGUGCGGAAGAGGCAAUCGGAAUUCCCAGUGUAGCGGUGAAAUGCGUAGAUAUUGGGAAGAACACCGGAGGCGAAGGCGGAUUGCUGGGCCGACACUGACGCUGAGGCGCGAAAGCCAGGGGAGCAAACGGG